This 400-nucleotide ribosomal RNA is filed under the name uncultured bacterium. RNAcentral describes it as "bacterial SSU rRNA". It matches the Rfam family "Bacterial small subunit ribosomal RNA", at positions 359 to 776 of the family's 1533-position model. The record is from RNAcentral.
GAAUCUUGGACAAUGGGGGCAACCCUGAUCCAGCGACGCCGCGUGGGUGAUGAAGGCCUUCGGGUUGUAAAGCCCUUUCGACGGGGACGAUGAUGACGGUACCCGGCGAAGAAGCCCCGGCUAACUCCGUGCCAGCAGCCGCGGUAAGACGGAGGGUGCUAGCGUUGUUCGGAAUCACUGGGCGUAAAGGGCGCGUAGGCGGCCUUUGGUGUCGGAUGUGAAAGCCCGGGGCUCAACUCCGGAGGUGCAUCCGAAACUCGAAGGCUGGAGGCCGGAAGAGGAGGGUGGAAUACCCAGUGUAGAGGUGAAAUUCGUAGAUAUUGGGUGGAACACCGGUGGCGAAAGCGGCUCUCUGGUCCGGUCCUGACGCUGAGGCGCGAAAGCGUGGGGAGCAAACAGG